RNAcentral lists this ribosomal RNA (274 nucleotides) under uncultured bacterium. RNAcentral's name for it is "partial 16S ribosomal RNA". It matches the Rfam family "Bacterial small subunit ribosomal RNA", at positions 523 to 796 of the family's 1533-position model. The record is from RNAcentral.
AUACGGAGGGUGCAAGCGUUACUCGGAAUCACUGGGCGUAAAGCGCGCGCAGGCGGUCUUUUAAGUUGGAUGUGAAAGCCUACGGCUCAACCGUAGAACUGCAUCCAAAACUAUUAGACUAGAGUGUGGGAGAGGAAGAUGGAAUUAGUUGUGUAGGGGUAAAAUCCGUAGAGAUAACUAGGAAUACCAAAAGCGAAGGCAAUCUUCUGGAACACUACUGACGCUGAGGCGCGAAAGCGUGGGGAGCAAACAAGAUUAGAUACCCUAGUAGUCC